CAAAGGAGCCACCCAGGCGCCCCAUAUCUGGUUUCAAACCCUGUGUUGUGGUUUAUUAGCUUUGUACCAAGAUGCCUUUCCUUAAGGACAAGAGGGGUGUCGGCCUUGCUCUCUCUUGUAUUUCCAGUCUCUGGCACAUAUUUGUUCAGCAUUUGCAAACAUUUGUUGGAUGCCUGCAGAAACAAACAGGCACAAGCACGCACACACACACACUCACAAACACACAGAUUGUGUUGUUGUUUUAUUGUAACAAGAUACAUAUGGCUUCAAACCAGGCUUCAGUGGCCAUGGAGAAGAGAAGUGGAGGGUCCCCGUGGUUUUGGCAACUGCCAAUCACAAUGGGAUCUCGCCCCAAAGCAGGGGGUACAUCAGUCCAUCACUGAGGAGCGACGUGACCUUGGGCAUGUUAUCUGUCCUCUCUGGGUCCCCUGUUCCUCAUCGGUAAGUUGAGGAGAGAUCUCAAAGAGCAUGAGAGGGGGCAAUUCUCUGAGGGACCUGGCAGCACAGAGACCUCCCCAUCCUGCCUGGUUUUCCAAAUGUUGCAGAGACCACUGAGCAUCCUGGAGCUGGUCUCCGUCUCUGAAAUGGAACCAGUUAAUUCCUACUGAUAUGAACGCAGAGCUGGCACCUGGUCACCGGUGCCCCCAAGUCAAAUAUUCUCAAUUUACCAGGUCUCCAGAACAGCAUGCCUCACGCCCCAGCUUUUCUCACCAUCGCUGACACUCACCACGUUAAUCCCAUUAGCACUCAGAGUGCUGUGUGUCAAAAAAAGCACGGGAAUCCAGCUCUUUGGGUUCGAUUUAAGGGCUUCUCACCCUGACUAGUGGUGGUCAUGUGAAGGCUUUUGACACCAACCCUGGGAAACCAGCCCAGGAAACUAAUGUUCUGGACCACACUUUGGGAAAAAGAACUUCCACAGAAAAAGAGGAAUUGGAGCCUGGCCUUUUACGCAAUUUUUACACAGAUGGAAGCAAUUCCAGGUGAUUCAAGUCGGGUCGGCAUAAAAGGCUUCAGGCUGGGGAGAGUUUCCUUUUCAAUGGCAGCUCCGUUUUCGAUUUCCUCCUCAGCAGGCUUGUGGCCUCACCUGCUCUGUGCAGGCACAGCCACAGGGAACAGCAUGUCGUGCUAAAUCAGUGCUGAUUCCAUCAGUAGCCAGUUGGCAUGGUUAUACAAAUGAUGGUACAUCCAUUGAACGGAGUUCUUUGUAGGUGUUGAAAAUAAGAUCUGUCCAUAUAUCCCACUAAGGAGAGCUGUGCAAGAAGGUCAGGAGGAGGAAAAAGCAGUGUGCAAGGCCUUCGGAAAGGAUACUCAUUUUCCUUGAUGAAAGGCGUUUACGUAUACAUGUGUGCUUGUAUAAAAAUGUAAAACAAAACCACCAACAGAUUCUUGUUGUGCUUAUAAAUGUGCAUCUCCUCGAGAGGAUGGGUGUGUUUUCUGGAGAAAGUACCCGUAAGAGUAGACUUUGGCAAAGGGAAAAGAGAAAGGGAAUUCUCCCUUUGAUUUUAUACUUUGCACCUUAUUUCAUGCUCACAUGAAUGGUUUGUAUGUUUACAGUGUGUGUGUCUGUGUCUGUUUCAGUAACAGAAACAAGAGGGAUUUGCAUUAAAACAUGAAAGAAAACAAAGACAGGUCUAACCCUGGGACUUGAGCUCCUUCCCUGUGUUCUGGGCCAGCCCGGCAGACCUGGUUAUUUUUCCAGCCGGGAAUCGUUUCAUUUUCUUGCCUCAAAUCCUGGAUGAGCCCGGGUCUAGCAGGAGGCUGACAGAGGCCUGGGCCGAGGGAGGCCAGCCACCCCCUCCCGCGGCAGGUGCUGUUGUUCGUAUGUGUGAGCGUGCGGGGGGUGUAGGGGUGGGCAUGUUUGGGGAGGGGUGGGGAGGAGCUGGACAAGCCUUCAGAGCAGAGGGAAGAACUGACAGUGCCGAAUAAGGAAAGCCAUGUGGUGUGGCACCAAAGUUUUAAAUGCUUUAAAAUAAAACUGGAAGUAAAUUUAAUUCAGAGGAAAAUGCUGAUAAUCCAUGCAUGGAUGCUGGAAUCCUCUGGGUGAACAGAUACCAGCUUUGGGGUUGGUCCUUCCCCUCACCAGCUCUAUUUUUGACUGGUGACCCCAAAAAGUCCUGUCCAUACCCCACGUGUCUGGUUUACCCCAGAAUCUGUGAACACAAAUGUACUUGGGAAGAGGUCUUUGCAGAGGUAAUAAGUUAAGGAUCCUGAGAGGAGAUAAUCCGGGAGUAUUUAGAUGGGCCUUAAAUCCAAUGACAAGUGUUCUUGUUAGGCACUUGGACGAGACAGAAGAAAAGACACGAGGACAUGGAGAGAAAGCCAUAUGAAAGUGAAGGCAGAGAUUGAAAUGAUGCAGACUAGCUAAGGCACACCCGGAGCCACCAGGAGCUGGGGAGGCUUGGAAGGUUUUUCCCUGGGGCCUUCAGAGGGAGCAGGACUCUGCCGACACCUUGAUUUCAGACUUCUGGCCUCUCAAACUGUGAAAGAAUAAAUUUCCAUUGCUGUAGCCACUGAUGUAAUAAUUUAGUAUAGCAGCCCUUAGGGGACUAAUAUACUUGCUGAAGAGACAAGGGUGGCCUUGGAUCGACUUCCCAGCGCAAGGGGCAGACUACGAGGUUUGGGAAGAGAACAGGCAGCCCUCUGUACCUCACCCAGGACAUCAUGUCAAGCCCCUAAUACCCUCUGUGGCCCUGCCCCUUCUUCUGACUCUAUUGGCUUCUUCCGCCAAAUUUUUUCUGCUUAGGGCCUCUCAUGACCUGUUACUCUUAUCUAUUUGUUUGAUUUAAUUUUGCAUAGUAACUGUCUCCCCCAGGAAUGUGUGCUUCCUGAGGGCGGGGCUGUCAUUUGGCUUCCCUCGGAAUCUACCCGUGGAAGAGUGCUGGGCAUAUAAGGGUGCCCAGGUGACAAGGUGAUCUUUGAGGAAGGAGAGGAGAAGGGAGGGCACUCUGACCAGGACCCUGGGAUUAGCAGGGCAUAGAGCUCAGAGGGAGGUAGAGAGCUC
Molecule: long non-coding RNA, 3001 nt
Organism: Felis catus (domestic cat)
Lineage: Eukaryota; Metazoa; Chordata; Mammalia; Carnivora; Felidae
Exons: 3
Source: RefSeq, a predicted model, not a curated record